AAUGAACGUUGGCGGCGUGGAUUAGGCAUGCAAGUCGAGCGGAAAGGCCCGCAAGGGCACUCGAGCGGCGUAAGGGACAGUAAUGUGUAGGUAACGUACCCCUGGGUCUAGGAUAGCUGCGGGAAACUGCAAUUAAUACUAGAUAACGUCUCCGGACCAAAGGUGUGAUUCCACCUGGGGAGCGGCCUACAUCCUAUUAGCUAGUUGGCGAGGUAAUGGCUCACCAAGGCGAAGAUGGGUAGCAGGUGUGAGAGCACGACCUGCGUCACUGGGACUGAGACACUGCCCAGACACCUACGGGUGGCUGCAGUCGAGAAUCUUCGGCAAUGGGCGAAAGCCUGACCGAGCGACGCCGCGUGUGGGAUGAAGGCCUCGGUUGUAACGACUAGUCGGAGGGAGUGAAGUGUUA
Molecule: ribosomal RNA, 409 nt
Filed under: uncultured bacterium
Lineage: Bacteria
Description: bacterial SSU rRNA
Rfam family: Bacterial small subunit ribosomal RNA
Source: RNAcentral